RNAcentral lists this unclassified non-coding RNA (267 nucleotides) under Hevea brasiliensis (rubber tree). The record is from RNAcentral. Lineage: Eukaryota; Viridiplantae; Streptophyta; Magnoliopsida; Malpighiales; Euphorbiaceae.
GUGAUGAAUAUUGGUGGACCCUUUUUAGGUGUGCCAAAAGCAGUCUCAGGAUUUUUCUCCAAUGAAGCCAGGGAUAUUGCUGCAGCCAGGGCUUACGCUCCGGGUUUUUUGGAUAAGGAUGUUUUUGGUCUUCAAACUCUGCAACAUUUAAUGCGGAUGGCUCGCACAUGGGAUUCAACCAUGUCUAUGAUACCAAAAGGUGGGGNUUGAUUGGUCUCCUGAAGGAAUCUACAAUUGUGGCGCAAAGAAGCCAAAAAACAAUAGUAC